Molecule: ribosomal RNA, 116 nt
Filed under: Danio rerio (zebrafish)
Lineage: Eukaryota; Metazoa; Chordata; Actinopteri; Cypriniformes; Danionidae
Source: RNAcentral
GCCAGCAGCUAGUUCUCUGUAAUUUUCACAUGGUCGCCCUCUAAAGCUAAGCAGGGGUGCGCCCGGUCAGUACCUGGAUGGGAGACCACAUGGCUAAAGCUAGGUUGCUGCCGGAA